AACGAACGUUAGCGGCGCGCUUAACACAUGCAAGUCGAGCGAGAAAGGGGCAACCCCGGUAAAGCGGCGCACGGGUGAGUAACACGUAGGUAAUCUACCCUCGGGUGGAGGAUAACUUUCCGAAAGGAAGGCUAAUACUGCAUGAGACCACGACCUCGAAAGGGGAUGGGGUCAAAAACCGGCCUCUGUACACAAGCUGGCGCCUGAGGAUGAGCCUGCGGCCCAUCAGCUAGUUGGUAGGGUAAUGGCCUACCAAGGCGAAGACGGGUAGCUGGUCUGAGAGGAUGAUCAGCCACACUGGAACUGAGACACGGUCCAGACUCCUACGGGAGGCAGCAGUGGGGAAUCUUGCGCAAUGGGCGAAAGCCUGACGCAGCGACGCCGCGUGAGUGAUGAAGGCCUUCGGUUGUAAAGACUCUGUGGUAGGAGGGACGGAAGUAAGUAGUUGGUCGUAACAU
Molecule: ribosomal RNA, 458 nt
Filed under: uncultured bacterium
Lineage: Bacteria
Description: bacterial SSU rRNA
Rfam family: Bacterial small subunit ribosomal RNA
Source: RNAcentral